This 168-nucleotide ribosomal RNA is filed under the name Lingulaulax polyedra. RNAcentral's name for it is "Lingulodinium polyedra ribosomal RNA". It matches the Rfam family "Eukaryotic large subunit ribosomal RNA", at positions 1945 to 2115 of the family's 3401-position model. Lineage: Eukaryota; Dinophyceae; Gonyaulacales; Lingulodiniaceae. The record is from RNAcentral.
GGAUUGGCUCUGAGGGUUGCGUGCNGGGGUCCUUGCCCUGAUGUUUGAGCUGAGCAGAAGCUACUUGUUGCCGUCUGGUGGAUAGUGGAUUCAUGCACGGCGAGAAUUUUCAGACAAGGAGUGUCUUUNNNGGCUUUUCCCUGUGCAGUGAACGACCAACUCAGAACU